This is a long non-coding RNA of Perognathus longimembris pacificus (Pacific pocket mouse), 858 nucleotides long. RefSeq lists it as uncharacterized. NCBI's taxonomy places the organism in Eukaryota, Metazoa, Chordata, Mammalia, Rodentia, Heteromyidae. The transcript is spliced from 3 exons. The record is from RefSeq and is a predicted model, not a curated record.
CCUUGGAGAGUUUGCACAACCCGUCCCAGCCCCUCCUUUCUUCUCCACUCCAGGCUGUUUUGUUAAAUGGCUCCCGGAUGCCUGGUUGGGGCUGGGCUCUGAAGGGAAGGGAAACGGGAAUCUCAUUUCCUCUUCUGGAAAAUGGGUCUGUAGGAUGGAGUAGCCACCGUUCCCGGGUAGAAUUUCAUGUAGCAUAAUGCAGACUUCAGCCAUGUAUAGCAAGAACAUAAGGUUUGAGGUGCAGGAGACACAUCUGUAAAUAAACUAUGGUCCCUGACUGCAUGGGCUUUGUCAUGCUUAUAGAAAAGCAGUCAUUCUGCAAAAAUUGAGAAGGUUUCCUGGAUGGGACAGUUCAUGAUGGCAGCAAUGGUUCAAAUACUCAUGUGGUCAUGUGAAAGAAGAGUGAGAGGUCGCCAACAAUUAACUGCUUGAAAACAGCUAGUCAAGAGGAUUUAAAAUUUUCCAACACAAAUAAAUGAAUUGUGUCUGAGGCUAUACAUAAAUUAAUCACCCUAAGCUGAUUAUUUUUAAAGUGUAUAUGUAUUAAACACAUCAUACUGGCGGGUGCUGGUGGCUCACACCCGUAAUCCUAGCUACUCAGGAGGCUGAGAUCUGAAGAUUGCAGUUCAAAGUCAACUCGAGAGGGGAAGUCCGUGAGACUCUUAUCUCCAGUUAACCACCAGAAAACUGGAAGUGGAGCUGGGGGUCAAAGUGGUACAGUACUUUGAGCAAAUGAGCUCAGGGACAGUGCCCAGGCCCUGAAUUCAGGCCCCAUGAAUGACAAAAAAAAGUCAUAGUGUACCCCAUAAGUAAGUAUAGUUACUACAUGUCAAAUAAGAAUUAAAAAAAUAUAUUUAA